GUUGUAUAGUCAAGUAAUUAAGUGCAUGUGGUGGAUGCCUUGGCAGUCAGAGGCGAUGAAAGACGUGAUAGCCUGCGAAAAGCUCCGGGGAGGCGGCAAAUAUCCUUUGAUCCGGAGAUGUCUGAAUGGGGGAACCCACCUACUUUAAGGUAGGUAUUGCAACAUGAAUACAUAGUGUUGCAAGGCGAACGAGGGGAAGUGAAACAUCUCAGUACCCUUAGGAAAAGAAAUCAAUUGAGAUUCCCUCAGUAGCGGCGAGCGAACGGGGAUCAGCCCAUUAAGUUAUGUGUGUUUUAGUGGAACGCUCUGGGAAGUGCGAACGUAGAGGGUGAUAUUCCCGUACACGAAAGGGCACACAUAAUGAUGACGAGUAGGGCGAGGCACGUGAAACCUUGUCUGAAUAUGGGGGGACCAUCCUCCAAGGCUAAAUACUCCUGACUGACCGAUAGUGAACCAGUACCGUGAGGGAAAGGCGAAAAGAACCCCUGUGAGGGGAGUGAAAUAGAUCCUGAAACCGCAUGCAUACAAGCAGUGGGAGCACCUUCGUGGUGUGACUGCGUACCUUUUGUAUAAUGGGUCAGCGACUUAUAUUCAGUAGCGAGGUUAACCGUAUAGGGGAGCCGUAGAGAAAUCGAGUCUUAAUAGGGCGUUUAGUUGCUGGGUAUAGACCCGAAACCAGGCGAUCUAUCCAUGAGCAGGUUGAAGGUUGGGUAACACUAACUGGAGGACCGAACCCACUGUCGUUGAAAAGCCAGGGGAUGACUUGUGGAUAGGGGUGAAAGGCUAAUCAAGCCUGGUGAUAGCUGGUUCUCCCCGAAAGCUAUUUAGGUAGCGCCUCGGACGAAUACCAUAGGGGGUAGAGCACUGUUUCGGCUAGGGGGUCAUCCCGACUUACCAAACCGAUGCAAACUCCGAAUACCUAUGAGUACUAUCCGGGAGACAGACUGCGGGUGCUAACGUCCGUAGUCAAGAGGAAAACAAUCCAGACCGCCAGCUAAGGCCCCAAAAUCAUAGUUAAGUGGGAAACGAUGUGGGAAGGCAUAGACAGCUAGGAGGUUGGCUUAGAAGCAGCCACCCUUUAAAGAAAGCGUAAUAGCUCACUAGUCGAGUCGGCCUGCGCGGAAGAUGUAACGGGGCUAAAACUAUGUGCCGAAGCUGCGGAUNNNNNNNNNNNAUGCUGGAGGUAUCAGAAGUGCGAAUGCUGACGUGAGUAACGACAAAACGGGUGAAAAACCCGUUCGCCGAAAGACCAAGGGUUCCAGUCCAACGUUAAUCGGGGCUGGGUGAGUCGACCCCUAAGGCGAGGCCGAAAGGCGUAGUCGAUGGGAAAAUGGUUAAUAUUCCAUUACUUCUGUGUAAUGCGAUGAGAGGACGGAGAAGGCUAAAUCAGCCUGGCGUUGGUUGUCCAGGUGAAAGGAUGUAGGCAUGUAUCUUAGGCAAAUCCGGGGUACUCUAUGCUGAGAUCUGAUAGCAAGCUGUACUUGUACAGCGAAGUGGUUGAUGCCAUGCUUCCAGGAAAAGUCUCUAAGCUUCAGUUACACAGGAAUCGUACCCGAAACCGACACAGGUGGUCAGGUCGAGUAGACCAAGGCGCUUGAGAGAACUCUGCUGAAGGAACUAGGCAAAAUGGUACCGUAACUUCGGGAGAAGGUACGCUGUUGUUGGUGAUGGAACUCGCUUCCUGAGCUGACGACAGCCGCAGAAACCAGGCCGCUGCAACUGUUUAUUAAAAACAUAGCACUCUGCAAACACGAAAGUGGACGUAUAGGGUGUGAUGCCUGCCCGGUGCUGGAAGGUUAAUUGAUGGGGUUAGCGUAAGCGAAGCUCUUGAUCGAAGCCCCAGUAAACGGCGGCCGUAACUAUAACGGUCCUAAGGUAGCGAAAUUCCUUGUCGGGUAAGUUCCGACCUGCACGAAUGGCAUAAUGAUGGCGGCGCUGUCUCCAGCAGAGGCUCAGUGAAAUCGAAAUCGCUGUGAAGAUGCAGUGUACCCGCGGCUAGACGGAAAGACCCCGUGAACCUUUACUGCAGCUUGACACUGAACUUUGACCUUACUUGUGUAGGAUAGGUGGGAGGCUUUGAAGCUGGAACGCUAGUUCCAGUGGAGCCGUCCUUGAAAUACCACCCUGGUAAUGUUGAGGUUCUAACUCUGUCCCGUGAUCCGGGACGAGGACCGUGUCUGGUGGGUAGUUUGACUGGGGCGGUCUCCUCCUAAAGAGUAACGGAGGAGUACGAAGGUGCGCUCAGCGUGGUCGGAAAUCACGCGUAGAGUAUAAAGGCAAAAGCGCGCUUAACUGCGAGACCCACAAGUCGAGCAGGUACGAAAGUAGGUCUUAGUGAUCCGGUGGUUCUGUAUGGAAGGGCCAUCGCUCAACGGAUAAAAGGUACUCUGGGGAUAACAGGCUGAUACCGCCCAAGAGUUCAUAUCGACGGCGGUGUUUGGCACCUCGAUGUCGGCUCAUCUCAUCCUGGGGCUGAAGCAGGUCCCAAGGGUAUGGCUGUUCGCCAUUUAAAGAGGUACGCGAGCUGGGUUUAGAACGUCGUGAGACAGUUCGGUCCCUAUCUACCGUGGGCGCUGGAAAUUUGAGAGGAUCUGCUCCUAGUACGAGAGGACCAGAGUGGACGAACCUCUGGUGUACCGGUUGUGACGCCAGUCGCAUCGCCGGGUAGCUAUGUUCGGAAGGGAUAACCGCUGAAAGCAUCUAAGCGGGAAGCCUACCUCAAGAUAAGAUUUCCCUAGGACUUUAUGUCCUCUAAAGAGCCGUUCGAGACUAGGACGUUGAUAGGUUGGAUGUGGAAGCAUAGUGAUAUGUGAAGCUGACCAAUACUAAUUGCUCGUGAGGCUUGACUAUACAACACCCAAGCAGUUG
This 2868-nucleotide ribosomal RNA is filed under the name Acinetobacter baumannii. Its description in RNAcentral is "bacterial LSU rRNA". It matches the Rfam family "Bacterial large subunit ribosomal RNA". Lineage: Bacteria; Pseudomonadati; Pseudomonadota; Gammaproteobacteria; Moraxellales; Moraxellaceae. The record is from RNAcentral.